Molecule: long non-coding RNA, 3288 nt
Organism: Gadus morhua (Atlantic cod)
Lineage: Eukaryota; Metazoa; Chordata; Actinopteri; Gadiformes; Gadidae
Source: Ensembl
AUGCACAAAUGUAUUAAAGGAACUGGAAAGAAGAAAAUGAGUCAAAAGAGUGUUGUUGCUUCAAGUUCUGAAAUGGAGAGUGGGAAAAGGCAUUUUAAGCUCACUGCAAAGGCUUUGUACAGCAAAAUUGAAAAGCUUCAAAGUGAAAGGAAAAUAAGUGUGAAUAAAAUUAAAAGGUUCAUACCACAAAUUAAAUCAUUCAUGAAGAAAAAGGAAAAUGUUUCACUGGUACAAUCUCUUUUGGAGAGUUUAACUGAACAGUGUGGAAAUGCCACCAAGUCACAUAACAUGCUGAUUCCUUUACUCCCUGAGGAGGAACAGAGGAAACAUAAUGAAUGGUUUUCUAGUAUUAUGGGCUACAGCAACACAUUUCAAAGAGACGUUGAGCAGUGGUUGAAUGAACCAGAGAAACUACUUGUGUUACAUGAUCAAGAUUCUGGUGAAAUGAAUGAACAGGUAUUUCUUCCAGCACCUGAAGAAACACAGCUACAGGCUGCUUCCAUAAUUAAUACAGAUGAUCUGCAAGACAACAUAAAACCAAAUGACAGUGUGUCAAAUGUGGGAAGCAGAGCGUCUAAAUCACAAAACUCUGCUACAGGAAGAGAGUCUGUUGCUUCCAGUAUUGCUUCUGCACGUCUCAGAGCAGAGGCUGACUUGGCAGCUUUAAGGAUGAGACAAAAAUUAUUAAAAGACAAACAUGAACUGGAAGAAGAGGAGGAGCGGAUACGUAAAAAGAAGGAGCAACUUAAAUUGGAUGAGGAAAUUGCAGCAAACAUGGCUAAACUGAAUGUGCUCAAGUCUCGGAGCAUCUUAAGUGGGAAAACCUCUGUGUCAAAGCGCUCAGAUGGAAUGAACUCCUAUCUGGAAAAAGGACAAGGAAAAACACAGACCCUCAGUGCGAAAGCAAAGUCAUUUGCACCACAAAGCUCACAACAUGAAUACAACUAUAUUCAUCUGGAUGCAGGAUCAAGACCUAAGGAGAAAAAUCCAUCUCAGUUAAUUCAUUCAUAUGAAUCCAACCUAUAUGCAGUGAAUCACAGUACUCAAGAAGGGAUGCAAAUGCAAGAUGGAAAUGCCUUAAAUGUAAAUAUUGGUCCAAAUGAAGAUCAAAGCAAUAUGUUUGGCAUUAUGAGCAAACAAAAUGAAAUAACAUCACUGUUGGUACAGCAGCAAUGCCUUUCAUCUUUGCCUAAGAGGGAGAUACCAAUUUUUGAUGGUGAUCCAUUAAAAUAUCAUGCAUUUGUGAAGGCCUUCGAGAACGGUGUAGAGAGGAACACUGCAAAUCACAGUGACAGACUGUAUUUCUUGGAACAGCACACAAGGGGUCACUCCAAAGAACUGAUCGGAAGCUGCCAGCAUAUGGAGCCUGAGAGAGGAUAUGCUAAGGCAAAAGCGUUAUUAAAGGAGCAGUUUGGAAAUGAGCAAAGGAUUUCAUACGCAUAUAUGGAAAAAGCUCUUUCAUGGCCGUCAAUCAAGAAUGAGGAUGUAAAGGCUCUUCGAGAUUACAGCCUUUUUCUCAGAGGUUGCUGUAACGUCAUGGAAGAGGUGCAAUAUCUGCAUGAAUUGAACAUCCCGGCUAACAUGCUAACCAUCAUAAAAAAAUUGCCAUACAAAUUCCGGGACAAGUGGCGUUCUGCAGCCUGUGAACUACAGGAAAGGCACAGUCGGAGAGCUACACUCAUUGACAUCACAAACUUCAUAGAGAGACAAGUACGGAUUCUAACAGACCCAGUGUUUGGAAACAUACAGGACGCACCAUCACUGAUGACUAAUAGAGGAGUGAACAAGGCUAAUCCACAAACUCGUUCUGCAAUUAAGGGAACCAGCUCUGCCACCACUGUAGCCCCUGCGAUAAACAGAACUCAGCCUGGAACUAAAGGAAAAGAGCAUAUCGAGUCUGCUAGGAGGACAUGCAUCUGUUGUGGAGAAGGACAUGCUUUGAAUUCGUGUCCACAGUUGGGGAAGAAGACACACAAAGAGAAGAUAGGCUUCUUAAGAGAGAAGAGUGUCUGUUUUGGCUGUUUGUGUAUUGGACACAUCAGCAAAGUUUGCAGAAAACGGAUUACCUGUACAAAGUGUGGUCUCAAACAUCCAACUGUUCUUCACAUUCCUCAAAAAGAAAAGGACAAAGACUCAGACCAAGCUGAGAGGAAAUCAGAGGUGUCCGUCGACAGCGCUCUGAUGUCAAGUGGGCUUACAGGGGCUGGUGAUCACGACUGCAAACUUCCUAUAGUUCCAGUGCAAGUUAAGUCCAAGAAGGGCAGUAAGAUUGUCACUACCUAUGCUUUCUUGGACCCAGGAAGUACUGCAGUAUUCUGUACAGAAGCUUUAAGAGAAAAACUCAAUAUUGCAGGAAAGAAAGUCCACAUUCUCCUACGGACGAUGGGCCAAGAGAAAGUGGUGAGCAGCCACAUGGUGCCAGGACUGGAAGUGGCUGGCUUGACUGGGGAGCAUUUCUGUGAGCUGCCCAAGGCUUACACUCAAGCACACAUGCCUGUUCACAAGGGAAACAUUCCAAAACAGAGUGAUAUUCAGAAAUGGCCUUAUUUGAAGCAUGUUCAUUUGCCUGAGAUUGAUGCAGGGAUUGAGCUGUUGAUUGGGACAAAUGUCGCUAAAGCCUUGGAACCCUUGCAAGUGAUUCGCAGUGUUGGAGAUGGACCCUAUGCAAUCAGGACAAUGCUGGGCUGGACGGUGAAUGGGCCGCUGAGAGAAGACAAUGAUGAUGCAGUGGACGGUGAGCAGCCAGAGUUAACAGUGAACAGAGUGUCAGUUGUGACUUUGGACGAACUUUGGCAGCAGCAGUUUAAGACAGACUUCCCUGAAUGCAGCUUGGAGGAAGGGCCAGGCAUGUCAAGAGAAGAACAAAAGUUCAUGAAGCUGGUUGCAAAUUCAGCAAAGCAGGUCAGUGGUCAUUAUCAGAUCAACCUGCCAUUGAGGAAUAAGGACGUUAGUAUGCCAAAUAAUAGGAAAAUCAUUGAGCAGCGUGCCUUACACCUGAAGAAGAGGCUUCAGAAGGAUUCCUCAUUUCAUGCUGACUACAAGGCCUUCAUGAAUGAUCUUGUUGUCAAAGGCUAUGCUGAAAGGGUGCCUGAAGAGGAUUUGGAACGUAGUGAUGGCAGGGUUUGGUACAUCCCGCACCAAGGUGUUUACCAUCCUACAAAGAAGAAGAUCAGGGUUGUUUUUGACUGUGGAGCAAGUUUCCAAGGAACAUCACUUAAUGCUCAACUCUUACAGGGCCCAGAUCUUACAAGUUCGCUGAUUGGAGUGAUGAGCAGGUUCAGGAAAUAA